CCUACGGGGGGCUGCAGUGGGGAAUAUUGGACAAUGGGGGGAACCCUGAUCCAGCCAUGCCGCGUGUGUGAAGAAGGCCCUCGGGUUGUAAAGCACUUUCAGUGAGGAAGAACGCCUGGUGGUUAAUACCCAUCAGGAAAGACAUCACUCACAGAAGAAGCACCGGCUAACUCCGUGCCAGCAGCCGCGGUAAUACGGAGGGUGCGAGAGUUAAUCGGAAUUACUGGGCGUAAAGCGCGCGUAGGUGGCUUGAUAAGCCGGUUGUGAAAGCCCCGGGCUCAACCUGGGAACGGCAUCCGGAACUGUCAAGCUAGAGUGCAGGAGAGGAAGGUAGAAUUCCCGGUGUAGCGGUGAAAUGCGUAGAGAUCGGGAGGAAUACCAGUGGCGAAGGCGGCCUUCUGGACUGACACUGACACUGAGGUGCGAAAGCGUGGGUAGCAAACAGGAUUAGAUACCCGAGUAGUC
Molecule: ribosomal RNA, 465 nt
Filed under: Vreelandella stevensii
Lineage: Bacteria; Pseudomonadati; Pseudomonadota; Gammaproteobacteria; Oceanospirillales; Halomonadaceae
Description: partial 16S ribosomal RNA
Rfam family: Bacterial small subunit ribosomal RNA
Source: RNAcentral